CAGACUACUCUACUAACUACUGAAUCAGACUACUCUACUAACUACUGAAUCAGACUACUCUACCAACUACUGGAUCAGACUACUCUACCAACUACUGGAUCAGACUACUCUACCAACUACUGGAUCAGACUACUCUACUAACUACUGGUCUAAAACACACCUGGAUCAGACUACUCUACCAACUACUGGAUCAGACUACUCUACCAACUACUGGAUCAGACUACUCUACCAACUACUGGUCUAAAACACACCUGGAUCAGACUACUCUACUAACUACUGGAUCAGACUACUCUACUAACUACUGGAUCAGACUACUCUACUAACUACUGGAUCAGACUACUCUACUAACUACUGAAUCAGACUACUCUACUAACUACUGAAUCAGACUACUCUACCAACUACUGGAUCAGACUACUCUACCAACUACUGGAUCAGACUACUCUACCAACUACUGGAUCAGACUACUCUACUAACUACUGGUCUAAAACACACCUGGAUCAGACUACUCUACCAACUACUGGAUCAGACUACUCUACCAACUACUGGAUCAGACUACUCUACCAACUACUGGUCUAAAACACACCUGGAUCAGACUACUCUACUAACUACUGGAUCAGACUACUCUACCAACUACUGGAUCAGACUACUCUACCAACUACUGGAUCAGACUACUCUACCAACUACUGGAUCAGACUACUCUACCAACUACUGGUCUAAAACACACCUGGAUCAGACUACUCUACUAACUACUGGAUCAGACUACUCUACUAACUACUGGAUCAGACUACUCUACUAACUACUGGAUCAGACUACUCUACCAACUACUGGAUCAGACUACUCUACUAACUACUGGAUCAGACUACUCUACUAACUACUGGAUCAGACUACCCUACUAACUACUGGUCUAAAACACACCUGGAUCAGACUCAUUUUCACAACAAAUGGAGCUGCCGUUCUCUGGUCUGGAGUCGACCUUCAUCAUCAUCGCCUUCAUCAUCUUCUCUCUCUUCGGCCUGGCCUCAGUCUGUACUCAGCCGGACACAGAGGAAGCUGUGUGUGAAGAGAAGAGGUUCCACAGGAAACCAGAGAGGAAGCAACGUGUCAUCGUCAAACUGGCCUCUCAGAGAGAACCCUGAACACUGUCCUCUCAGAGAGAACCCUGAACACUGGCCUCUCAGAGAGAACCCUGAACACUGGCCCAAUCUGGCCUCUCAGAGAGAACCCUGAACACUGGCCUCUCAGAGAGAACCCUGAACACUGUCCCAAACUGGCCUCUCAGAGAGAACCCUGAACACUGGCCUCUCAGAGAGAACCCUGAACACUGUCCCAAACUGGCCUCUCAGAGAGAACCCUGAACACUGGCCUCUCAGAGAGAACCCUGAACACUGGCCUCUCAGAGAGAACCCUGAACACUGGCCUCUCAGAGAGAACCCUGAACACUGGCCCAAUCUGGCCUCUCAGAGAGAACCCUGAACACUGGCCCAAUCUGGCCUCUCAGAGAGAACCCUGAACACUGGCCUCUCAGAGAGAACCCUGAACACUGUCUCAAACUGGCCUCUCAGAGAGAACCCUGAACACUGGCCUCUCAGAGAGAACCCUGAACACUGUCCCAAACUGGCCUCUCAGAGAGAACCCUGAACACUGGCCUCUCAGAGAGAACCCUGAACACUGUCCCAAACUGGCCUCUCAGAGAGAACCCUGAACACUGUCCCAAACUGGCCUCUCAGAGAGAACCCUGAACACUGUCCCAAACUGGCCUCUCAGAGAGAACCCUGAACACUGUCCCAAACUGGCCUCUCAGAGAGAACCCUGAACACUGGCCUAUCAGAGAGAACCCUGAACACUGUCCCAAACUGGCCUCUCAGAGAGAACCCUGAACACUGGCCUCUCAGAGAGAACCCUGAACACUGUCCCAAACUGGCCUCUCAGAGAGAACCCUAAACACUGUCCCAAACUGGCCUCUCAGAGAGAACCCUGAACACUGGCCUCUCAGAGAGAACCCUGAACACUGGCCUCUCAGAGAGAACCCUGAACACUGGCCUCUCAGAGAGAACCCUGAACACUGGCCUCUCAGAGAGAACCCUGAACACUGGCCUCUCAGAGAGAACCCUGAACACUGGCCUCUCAGAGAGAACCCUGAACACUGUCCCAAUCUGGCCUCUCAGAGAGAACCCUGAACACUGGCCUCUCAGAGAGAACCCUGAACACUGGCCUCUCAGAGAGAACCCUGAACACUGUCCCAAACUGGCCUCUCAGAGAGAACCCUGAACACUGUCCCAAACUGGCCUCUCAGAGAGAACCCUGAACACUGGCCUCUCAGAGAGAACCCUGAACACUGUACCAGCCCUGGUAGCACAAUCGAUAUGCUGAUAGAAUUUAGGGAGCCUUAUUUUUCACAUUAGCUUUGUUAAAAUCUCCAGCUACAAUAAAUGCAGCCUCAGGAUAUGUGGUUUCCAGUUUACAAAGAGUCCAGUGAACUUCUUUCAGGGCCAUGUUGGUAAGUUGACGUUGCUCAUAUGGCCAAUAGUUCUUCCCGGCUGUAUGUAAUAAAACGUAAGAUUUCCUGGGGUAACAAUGUACGAAAUAAUACAUUUAAAAAAAAUAAAAAAUACUGCACGGUUUCCUAAGAACACGAGGCGGCCAUCUCUGUUGGCGCCGGAUGUUGCCGUACAUUUUGUUAACGACAGCUGGUGCACGAAAUCUAAAGAAGUCUUAAGGUUUUGCUGGCCUGAGGUAGAGUAUCUCAUGAUAAGCUGUAGACCACACUAUUUACCAAGAGAGUUUUCAUCUAUAUUCUUCGUAGCUGUCCAUUUACCGACACAAACCGAUGCGCUGGCACUAAGACCGAACUCAAUGAGCUGUGUACCGCCAUAAGCAAACAGGAAGACGCUCAUCCAGAGGCGGCGCUCCUAGUGGCCGGGGACUUUAAUGCAGGGAAACUUAAAUCCGUUUUACCUCA
This is a non-coding RNA of Salmo salar (Atlantic salmon), 2959 nucleotides long. NCBI's taxonomy places the organism in Eukaryota, Metazoa, Chordata, Actinopteri, Salmoniformes, Salmonidae. The record is from RefSeq and is a predicted model, not a curated record.